Clupea harengus (Atlantic herring) is the source of this 1649-nucleotide long non-coding RNA. The record is from Ensembl. Lineage: Eukaryota; Metazoa; Chordata; Actinopteri; Clupeiformes; Clupeidae.
UGUUGGUUUUUGACGGUAUCUUUAUUGUAUGCUGGUAUGAAUUAAACAUUAGGAUCAGCAAAUGAUGUCAUCCUUCUCAGUCCCGGUUUGACUGCGUGUAGUCUGUUUCUAUUUGGCUGUGUCCAGACAACAGACAGUUACCAUAAAACAUCCCUAUAAUAAAAUGACACUUAGAUUACAAAAUGAAAUCUCUUGCCUGAUAUACUUACUUACACAAAAGCCAUUGCCCUCUGGGACCCAAAGGAAAUCACAUUCAUCAUACUGUCAAAUAUGUCAGGUUUAUUGAUUGAUCAUACUGUCAAAUAUGUCAGGUUUAUUGAUGUAUAAUAAACCUUGAAAGAGCUGCGUCCAGAAAGCUUAUUUGGAUUGAUAAAAAAGAGGAUUGACCGUUUUGUGCCUGGUCAAAUGUGCUUCAUCCACAUGUGUGUGUGUGUGUGUGUGUGUGUGUGUGUGUGAUAUAUCUGAUCGAUGUGCUUCAUCCACAUAUGUGGUAUAUCUGAUCGAUGUGCUUCAUCCACAUAUGUGAUAUAUCUGAUCGCCCCAAACAGAAAGAUAGUUUGCCACCAUGACACACAUGAGCAGACACAUACUGGGGUCUAAUGCAGUAGCUGCAAAACAGCAUCAACACAAACGGAUAUUCAUGUGCUUUACACGCUUUUAACAUAUUUGUACAGGAAAAUGGAGUAUGUCUUAAUACAAAGCAUUAAUAGAAUUUCUUCCAAUAAUAUAUAGGAAAGAUGUGUGUGUUUUUUUUUUUUUUCUUCCUUUUAAAAAUCGUUAUUUAUCUUUUCUUCCAAUGCUUCCUUUUGACUCCAAUGGAAGCCGGCUGGCCCUUAAGGAUGGUGUGUGUGUGUGUGUGUGUGUGUGUGUGUGUGUGUGUGUGUGUGUGUGUGUGUGUGUGUGGUCGCGCCGUCUGAGCAGGGAGCUGACAGUACGGACACCCUUGCCCCCGGAGGGGUUGCAGAGGUGGCUCUUGGGAUAGCUGACACAGGCAUUUGUUUACGAUGCCAAUGUUUGUGUGUCCCCAGAAUAUAUUUUAUAAUCGGGGGGGGGGGGGGGGCACAAAACUGUGUGUUCAGAAAGGGUCCCACGUGUGCUGGAGCCCCCACAGAAGACUCGUGUCCAGACGGGGAACCGAUUCCGGACGGGGAACCGAGUGUGGAACCAAAAAAAAGAGGACCGCGGAGAAGGGAGCGGCCUCCAUCAUAGAGUACUUUCAAGCAUCCACUCGGAUUUGGAGAGGGGCCCCCCCUCGGCCCCCAGCAGCUGCUCCGUGCUCUUCAUGUGGGGCAGGUCCCCGCUCAUGGACAGGCUCCUCUUGGAGCGCAGGCUGCCCCCUGGUGGCUGGGGGGAGUGUGGCAGCGUGACGUAGCGCGGCGUGGUAGCGCGGCAGGCGGCGGCGUCCACGUUGAGCGAGUGUCUGCGGCUGACGCGCACGCACCCCACCGGCAGCGUCUGGUAGCUGAGCAUCGCCUCGGGGUGCGGCCGCCGCGGCACACGCACCAUGGUGGAGCACAGGCGCACGGCCGCGCGGUGCGGGUGGGACGACAGCAGCGAGAGCGGCCGCGGGCACGCCGAGUUGUUCCUGUUGGCGUUGUCCAGCUCCGCGUCGAUCUGGACGUCAGGCUGGCGCGCGGCAGUGGCGGAGG